This 387-nucleotide RNase P RNA is filed under the name Gemmatimonadaceae bacterium. RNAcentral describes it as "RNase P RNA component class A". It matches the Rfam family "Bacterial RNase P class A". Rfam says of the family: Ribonuclease P (RNase P) is a ubiquitous endoribonuclease, found in archaea, bacteria and eukarya as well as chloroplasts and mitochondria. Its best characterised activity is the generation of mature 5'-ends of tRNAs by cleaving the 5'-leader elements of precursor-tRNAs. Cellular RNase Ps are ribonucleoproteins. Lineage: Bacteria; Pseudomonadati; Gemmatimonadota; Gemmatimonadia; Gemmatimonadales; Gemmatimonadaceae. The record is from RNAcentral.
GCAAUUAGUCGGACGGUCGCGCUUUAGUAUCAUUAUGAUAUUAAAUCGAGGAAAGUCCGGGCUCCGUGGGUAGAUCGCCAGGUAAUGCCUGGGCAGGAGAGGAGUGAUCCUCUGUUGACGGACAGUGCCACAGAAAACAGACCGCCACUCGAUUUUCGAGGGGUAAGGGUGAAAAGGUGGGGUAAGAGCCCACCGCGUUCAUGGCGACAUGGACGGCACGGUAAACCCCGGUUGGAGCAAGGCCAAGUAAGCGGCGAGAGUACCCACCUCGACCAAGACGCCGCGGGUAGGCUGCUAGAGGGUGUGAGUGAUUGCACUCCGAGAGAAAUGACCGUCACGGUGGUUCACUCCACCGGACAGAACCCGGCUUACAGACUGGUUGCAUGA